UUUCGGUCUAAAUGUUGAGUUCAUGAUUUAGGCCCAUUGUAUAACAAUACUCUAUUUAGAGCUCUAUUACGUCAAAAAUGGUGGGGGGCAAAUAUUAGGUUUUGAGGGUGAAUUUUCAUAUUUUAAGAAUAAAAAAGUUUCUUUUUUUUCCGAUGAGUAUGCGUGAAUCUGGAAAACUACCACCAACCAAAACCCUUUCACUUCUUUGCAAACAACUCACAACCUCAUUGCUUCUUACCAAUGAACAUCAACCACUGCCAAAACCCCAUUGUCAUCUCUUUUCUUUUUUCGAUCAGUCUGUCACCGCCAAAGAUAAACCAUCAACCCUUUUGUUUCAUCUUCUCCUCUCUUUGAACACCAAAACCACCAGCCAAAGAUGAGCAGAAACUAACUCACACAACCAUCGCUCAACCCACAACAACCACUUUCAUUUCCGCCGUUUCCGGCGAAAUACCCAACCCCAAACAGCUAAUCAAACCACCCAGAACACUCAAGCUAUUGUUUUUCCUCUUUCCUUGUGGCUGCGACAAAACACCAGCUGAAACAAUCAUCAAACAAGUAGCUGAAACAACCAACAAAAUCACCCAAACACCUCCCAGAUCUUGCCCAACACCCCCAUUCCCCACCUUCUUCCGACGGAGAAAUAACAAGUGAUGACCACUGUGAGGACGACCAGAUCUAUUCGGGUUCACAUUUCCAGCAAACCCAACGAACAGAAAGCUCCAAACCACCAUGACACCAUAAACAGUGAAAAUCGUCCCAGAUAAUAGUUGGGGAUGGUAAUAACAAUGCGUAAUUUUCGUAAAUAAUUAGUAGAAGACACAGUUCCAAGAGACAUUUCAAAAAGACUACAACAACAUGUGGUUAAUAUAAAAAAAAUAAUAGACCACAUUCAACAGAAACUACAAAGGUCGACAGUUAAGAGGACACAAGGAUUCGCUCCGAGUUUGUCUAAAUUUUUAAAUGUUUUAUGUCAUAUUUGAAUGAACUACGCGUACCUGAUUCUCAUUUUAAUGAGAUACGUAGGCAACCUUUCUUGGGUUCAGUAUACAUUUUUUGAAUAGUAAAAAAAAUAAGGGAAAAGGGUUAAAUUGCCCCUGAACUAUGCAAAAUA
Molecule: long non-coding RNA, 1114 nt
Organism: Solanum lycopersicum (tomato)
Lineage: Eukaryota; Viridiplantae; Streptophyta; Magnoliopsida; Solanales; Solanaceae
Source: RefSeq, a predicted model, not a curated record